Molecule: ribosomal RNA, 425 nt
Filed under: uncultured bacterium
Lineage: Bacteria
Description: partial 16S ribosomal RNA
Rfam family: Bacterial small subunit ribosomal RNA
Source: RNAcentral
GUAGGGAAUCUUGCGCAAUGGGCGAAAGCCUGACGCAGCCAUGCCGCGUGAAUGAUGAAGGUCUUAGGAUUGUAAAAUUCUUUCACCGGGGACGAUAAUGACGGUACCCGGAGAAGAAGCUCCGGCUAACUUCGUGCCAGCAGCCGCGGUAAUACGAAGGGGGCUAGCGUUGCUCGGAAUUACUGGGCGUAAAGGGCGCGUAGGCGGAUAUUUAAGUCGGGGGUGAAAGCCCGGGGCUCAACCUCGGAAUAGCCUUCGAUACUGGAUAUCUUGAGUACGGGAGAGGUGUGUGGAACUCCGAGUGUAGAGGUGAAAUUCGUAGAUAUUCGGAAGAACACCAGUGGCGAAGGCGACACACUGGCCCGUUACUGACGCUGAGGCGCGAAAGCGUGGGGAGCAAACAGGAUUAGAAACCCUGGUAGUCC